GUAUUACUUCGGGCAUCGUUUAAUAGCAAACUUAGAACUCGCUGCGUCUAGGGGGAAUCCGACUGUCUAAUUAAAACAGAGCUUUGCGAUUGGCCGGAAAACUUGGUGUUGACGCAAAGUGAUUUCUGCCCAGUGCUCUGAAUGUUAACGUGAAGAAAUUCAAAUAAGCGCGGGUAAACGGCGGGAGUAACUAUGACUCUCUUCUGGUAGCCAAAUGCCUCGUCAUCUAAUUAGUGACGCGCAUGAAUGGAUUAACGAGAUUCCCACUGUCCCUGUCUACUAUCUAGCGAAACCACAGCCAAGGGAACGGGCUUGGACUUCAAUGCGGGAAGAAGACCCUGUUGAGCUUGACUCUAAUCUGUCUUCGUAAGAGACUUGAAAAGUGUAGUGUAGAUGGGAGUGGC
RNAcentral lists this ribosomal RNA (404 nucleotides) under uncultured eukaryote. RNAcentral's name for it is "eukaryotic LSU rRNA". It matches the Rfam family "Eukaryotic large subunit ribosomal RNA", at positions 2077 to 2479 of the family's 3401-position model. The record is from RNAcentral.